UACGAAGGGGGCUAGCGUUGCUCGGAAUCACUGGGCGUAAAGCGCACGUAGGCGGACUCUUAAGUCGGUGGUGAAAUCCUGGAGCUCAACUCCAGAACUGCCUUUGAUACUGGUAAGCUCGAGUCCGGGAGAGGUGAGUGGAACUGCGAGUGUAGAGGUGAAAUUCGUAGAUAUUCGCAAGAACACCAGUGGCGAAGGCGGCUCACGGGCCCGGUACUGACGCUGAGGUGCGAAAGCGUGGGGAGCAAACAGG
This 253-nucleotide ribosomal RNA is filed under the name uncultured bacterium. RNAcentral describes it as "partial 16S ribosomal RNA". It matches the Rfam family "Bacterial small subunit ribosomal RNA", at positions 524 to 776 of the family's 1533-position model. The record is from RNAcentral.